This is a long non-coding RNA of Bactrocera latifrons, 414 nucleotides long. RefSeq lists it as uncharacterized. The record is from RefSeq and is a predicted model, not a curated record. Lineage: Eukaryota; Metazoa; Arthropoda; Insecta; Diptera; Tephritidae. The transcript has 2 exons.
AAAAAAAUGUUUCACUUAAUACAUAUGACAUAGUGUGUAACAUUGACAACAACAAAAAUAUAUAUGUAUUAACUAAAAAAGGAAAAACCGUUAACAUCGGAUGCAGAGAAGUUGGAAUACCUUUCAUAAAUAAAAAAGUAGAAGUUCCACUUCAACUUAACUCUGCACUUUUGAACAUUCAAUCAAAAAAAUUAUGGCCGAGUGCAAGAUAAAAAAAUUAAUGAGCGGAUGGAGUAGUGAAAGGUAAUGAAGGAAUGAAAAAUCGCAUUGACUGACGAAGAACGCGAAAAAAUUAAGGAUGAUGAUUCAAACAGUAAUUUACUCGACGGUGUUUCAAGCUAAUCAUUGUAACAAUAUAAAAUGAAACGUUCACAGCGAUUAUGCACUAUAAUUCAAUAAAUGGUUAAAAAUAAA